GUGAUCAGGAAGAGAAAAAUGCACAAACCGUGGUAGCCUAACAAUUGGAUCAUGAUUGUCCAAAAAAUACAAAUAAGGCCACUACACAACGUACUUUUAAUGACCAAGGUUGGAUAGCUUAGGAAAUGACUUGGAAUGACUUAAAAUAAUUUUUGUUGCUAUUGAAGUCCGGCCACCAAGCUAGCAUGACUAGCGAAGCUUCUGACC
Molecule: long non-coding RNA, 207 nt
Filed under: Elaeis guineensis (African oil palm)
Lineage: Eukaryota; Viridiplantae; Streptophyta; Magnoliopsida; Arecales; Arecaceae
Description: long non-coding RNA (EGUI_LNC007426)
Source: RNAcentral